AAGGUGAUGGAGAUAUUUCUUUCCUGUAUGAUGGUGGGCCAAGUCUUCCCAUCCUGUAAAAAAGCAACCCCCAGGCUGCAGGCAGUGGUUUUCCAGCCCUGAGUUCAGAUUGCAUUUUAUGAUCAGAGUUAACAGUUACACCUUAGCUAUUUGGUUGACCUUCUUCUCAAGCUUCUUCCUCAAGCUUUUAUUCCCCUGCAAGUCAUCUCUUCAUAUCCCACAUGGCAGUCACUGCCCUUUGGGUUGAAACAUCCAUCAAAGCUCAUCACCAGCCCGCUGCAGAGACCUCCCAGCACUGCAAGACGUCCUGCCCUGCUCUGCCAUGAAGACUGAGAACUGUCUAUAGGCAGCUAACAAACCUUCCUGGAUCUUCUGCGAGAACCAUGCUGUGUGCCACACUCAUUUGUGGGAACAAAUCAGGGGAAAAUGCUGGUCCAGAACAGCACCCU
Long non-coding RNA from Pezoporus occidentalis (night parrot), 449 nucleotides. RefSeq lists it as uncharacterized. The transcript is spliced from 3 exons. Lineage: Eukaryota; Metazoa; Chordata; Aves; Psittaciformes; Psittacidae. The record is from RefSeq and is a predicted model, not a curated record.